This 65-nucleotide transfer RNA is filed under the name Atergatis floridus. RNAcentral's name for it is "tRNA-Ala". Lineage: Eukaryota; Metazoa; Arthropoda; Malacostraca; Decapoda; Xanthidae. The record is from RNAcentral.
AAGGCUAUAGUCAAUUUAUGACAUAUGAGUUGCAUUCAUAAGGAGUUUUUCUAAAACUAGCUUUA